RNAcentral lists this ribosomal RNA (482 nucleotides) under uncultured bacterium. RNAcentral describes it as "bacterial SSU rRNA". It matches the Rfam family "Bacterial small subunit ribosomal RNA", at positions 31 to 507 of the family's 1533-position model. The record is from RNAcentral.
GAACGCUGGCGGCAUGCCUUACACAUGCAAGUCGAACGGCAGCACGGGAGCAAUCCUGGUGGCGAGUGGCGAACGGGUGAGUAAUAUAUCGGAACGUGCCCAGUCGUGGGGGAUAACGCAGCGAAAGUUGUGCUAAUACCGCAUACGAUCUAUGGAUGAAAGCGGGGGAUCGCAAGACCUCGCGCGAUUGGAGCGGCCGAUAUCAGAUUAGGUUGUUGGUGAGGUAAAAGCUCACCAAGCCUGCGAUCUGUAGCUGGUCUGAGAGGACGACCAGCCACACUGGAACUGAGACACGGUCCAGACUCCUACGGGAGGCAGCAGUGGGGAAUUUUGGACAAUGGACGAAAGUCUGAUCCAGCAAUGCCGCGUGCAGGACGAAGGCCUUCGGGUUGUAAACUGCUUUUGUACAGAACGAAAAAAGUCUUUAAUAACACUAGAGGCUCAUGACGGUACUGUAAGAAUAAGCACCGGCUAACUACGUG